CCUACGGGUGGCUGCAGUAAGGAAUAUUGGGCAAUGGAGGCAACUCUGACCCAGCCAUGCCGCGUGAAGGAUGACGGCCCUAUGGGUUGUAAACUUCUUUUAUACGGGAAUAAACCCGGGUACGUGUACCCGGCUGAAUGUACCGUAAGAAUAAGGAUCGGCUAACUCCGUGCCAGCAGCCGCGGUAAUACGGAGGAUCCAAGCGUUAUCCGGAUUCAUUGGGUUUAAAGGGUGCGUAGGCGGAUUUGUAAGUCAGCGGUGAAAUCCUACAGCUU
RNAcentral lists this ribosomal RNA (275 nucleotides) under uncultured bacterium. RNAcentral describes it as "partial 16S ribosomal RNA". It matches the Rfam family "Bacterial small subunit ribosomal RNA", at positions 338 to 610 of the family's 1533-position model. The record is from RNAcentral.